This 315-nucleotide ribosomal RNA is filed under the name Triticum aestivum (bread wheat). Its description in RNAcentral is "partial small subunit ribosomal RNA". Lineage: Eukaryota; Viridiplantae; Streptophyta; Magnoliopsida; Poales; Poaceae. The record is from RNAcentral.
AUGGUGUUCCCAAGCAGGGGAAGUAUCCGUGUCGAUGCUGACAGUGUUCAAAUGGUAUUUGAUCUUCCUAACAGGGGUCAAAAAGUCACAUAUAAAGUUGACAAGGAUACAACUAGGAGAUUCAGAGAGACUUUCAACAUACGUGGAGAUUCUCAUCCCCAGAUCACUACAUGGUGCAAGAUGAUUAAGGAUAUGGCGAAGCAAACUAUUUGCUGCUGCUUGUAUCACUUGAUGAUCAUGUACCUUGACACGCUCGUUCAUGACAUCUCAGUAAGCAACUGUGUGACACAACGAAUGCAUGGGACAGUAACCUAA